CUGGGGAGGUAGUGACAAUAAAUAACAAUGCGGGUUCCUCUUUUGGUUCUGCAAAUUGGAAUGAGAACAAUCUAAACACCUUAACGAGGAGCAAUUGGAGGGCAAGUCUGGUGCCAGCAGCCGCGGUAAUUCCAGCUCCAAUAGCGUAUAUUAAAGUUGUUGCAGUUAAAAAGCUCGUAGUUGGAUUUCGGAACGGUCGGGUUGGUCCGCCCAGCGUGGUGUGUACUGGCCUUGGUGGUAUGGCUGGGGUGGUUGUCUUAACGGGUGGCCGCCUCUGGUCUGCUACCCUUGCCGCGUGUAUUGCGUGGCAAGUGAUCGUUCUUCUCCCUCGGAGACGAAGUCUGUCCUUUACUGGAUGGGCUUUGGAUGCGAGGUGUUUACUUUGAAAAAAUUAGAGUGUUCAAAGCAGGCCUAUAUCUUCGCUUGAAUACAUUAGCAUGGAAUAAUGGAAUAGGACUCUGUGUCUAUUUUGUUGGUUUGAAGGCAGAGAGUAAUGAUUAAUAGGGACAGUUGGGGGCAUUCGUAUUUAAUUGUCAGAGGUGAAAUUCUUGGAUUUCUGAAAGACGAACAACUGCGAAAGCAUUUGCCAAGGAUGUUUUCAUUAAUCAAGAACGAAAGUUAGGGGUUCGAAGACGAUCAGAUACCGUCGUAGUCCUAACCAUAAACAAUGCCGACUAGGGAUCAGCGUACGUUCGUUCUAUGGGACGUCGUUGGCACCUUACGAGAAAUCAAGAGUUUUUGGGUUCUGGGGGGAGUAUGGUA
RNAcentral lists this ribosomal RNA (762 nucleotides) under Oopsacas sp. SMF12068. RNAcentral describes it as "SSU rRNA". It matches the Rfam family "Eukaryotic small subunit ribosomal RNA", at positions 456 to 1130 of the family's 1831-position model. Lineage: Eukaryota; Metazoa; Porifera; Hexactinellida; Lyssacinosida; Leucopsacidae. The record is from RNAcentral.